AAAGGAAGAAACUGAAGGCGCCUUGUCUCGACUCCAGCCAGCUUAGUUCUUUGGAGAAGCAGUGUGGAGUCCUAAAAAAGGAGGCUGAGUCUUACCGUUGAGGUCGGUGCCGGUAGAGAAUGGGAGGGAGUCUGCAGGAGCCAAGCACCCUAAAGAAGAGGAAGAGAGCACGUUGCUGAGAUUUGAACAGCGACCUGAGAGGUCAGACUGGACCCAGGCCUCCUCAAGACAGCUGCUGGAGCCUGUUGCUUUUUCACACCACAGAUACUUCAUGCUGCCUAAUAUUCUACCGAGCCAGCCUAGGGGACUUGGAUCUGUCUCGCCUGGGGCUAAGAGAAUAGUUUCUCUAAGAAGAAAACAGUUCUAAUUCAAAGAUGCUGGAUCUGGCUUCCUUUAAAGCCUGAAGUCGCUGAAGUGGCCAUAGAACUAUGGGGUCCAGAGGACUGCCAGUCUCAGCCAGCCUUUAGGCUGGAGAGAGGCUGUGGGCCUGCUUGGGGACUAAAAUGGAUGAAUAAGAAACCUGUAAGAAAUGUAAACAGAUGGAAUGGCAAGGAGGAGAGCGCUGGAGAUUGUUCAGGAGGAAUUCCACCCGGCUCUGGGGCGUGCGUCCGACAAGCCCCUAGGGGGAGAAAGGAGAAGGGUGAAGGCCGGGCUAGUAGUCGCUGCCCGCUGGGCAGCAUCUGGAGGCCCGUGCGGGAUGCAGGCGAGGGGGAUGGAGCGGCGCCGCUGGAGGAAAUGCCGACAAGCCCAAAGGAAAGCGGAGUGUCCUGUGUGCCACAUGGAACUCGGGGAAAGGAAAUGAUUAAAGCCGUGAGGUUUCCUGGCUCUUCGUGGUGUUUACGGUGGGUUUUGAUUUGGGAAGAGAGCAGGAGAGGUUAUGGCCGGUUGCCAUCUGCCAGCGUCCUCAAUCUGCCUGGGCUACAGAUGACAUAGGGGCGGGUGGGCACGUGCGCUCUGUGUGCACAUUCCGAGUGUGUGCAGGAGCGUGUCUCGGAGUGUCUUGUGUGGUGGCCUACCUGGCAAUACAUGCAUGGUUAAAAAGAAGAGAUCUUCCAGCUUCAAGAGGAGGGGUUUCAGGUUCUUUCAGACAUCUGAGGGGCUGCAUCUUUCUAAAGUGCACACGUUUCUUUUUCAAACACUAUUUAAAAAUUUUUGUAAUGUUUCCAGUCUUUGCAUACUGUAAAUGGACAGGAAUAGGACAGAAACCCCAUCAUUAAACACUUACAUUGAUUUAAAUCAAAUUCCACUAAGUGAAAAUGCUUGUUGAAAUUUGGAAAAUAUUUUUUAAUGUAAUAAUGACAUUUGGACAUUGCAACUAUAGACAAUAAUCAUCAAAUCUGAAAUUAAGAUAAAUUUAAUAAAAGUGAUUUUUAAAUGCA
Molecule: long non-coding RNA, 1379 nt
Filed under: Mus musculus (house mouse)
Lineage: Eukaryota; Metazoa; Chordata; Mammalia; Rodentia; Muridae
Description: Hand2 downstream lncRNA
Source: RNAcentral